AGAACGAACGCUGGCGGCAUGCCUAAUACAUGCAAGUCGAACGAACACUUCGGUGUUAGUGGCGCACGGGUGCGUAACGCGUGGGAAUCUGCCCUUGGGUUCGGAAUAACAGUUGGAAACGACUGCUAAUACCGGAUGAUAUCGAAAGAUCAAAGAUUUAUCGCCCAGGGAUGAGCCCGCGUAGGAUUAGCUAGUUGGUGAGGUAAAGGCUCACCAAGGCGACGAUCUGUAGCUGGUCUGAGAGGACGACCAGCCACACUGGGACUGAGACACGGCCCAGACUCCUACGGGAGGCAGCAGUGGGGAAUUUGGACAAUGGGCGAAAGCCUGAUCCAGCCAUGCCGCGUGCAGGAU
This 354-nucleotide ribosomal RNA is filed under the name uncultured soil bacterium. Its description in RNAcentral is "bacterial SSU rRNA". It matches the Rfam family "Bacterial small subunit ribosomal RNA", at positions 26 to 409 of the family's 1533-position model. The record is from RNAcentral.